Molecule: long non-coding RNA, 2682 nt
Organism: Podarcis muralis (Common wall lizard)
Lineage: Eukaryota; Metazoa; Chordata; Lepidosauria; Squamata; Lacertidae
Source: Ensembl
AUGUCCAUAUUAGGAAGUGAUGUUAAUGCAAUCAAUGUUGGGAAUCUGUUGAUCACUUUUUUUUUUGUACUUUUCCAAUGUAUCACCAUCAUUUCACAUGUAAAUAGAUCCAGACUGUUUCCUCCCAUCUCAAGAACGCAGAUACAUGAAUGCGGGAAUUUGCAGGAACUUCUGUGCAGUACAUUUUGUUUGACAUGUUCUUCGAUAGCUUUCGGAAGAAAACUAUUUAUUAAAGCAUUUUAUAACAAAUGUUGCCAGUUGACACUUUUGUUCCCCCUUACUUGGCUCUUUAAAUGUUCAAAAUGGUUUUGGGGCUAUCAUCCCAAUAUCUCCCUUCUCAUUGGUUAUUACUCUACCCCCCCCCAAAAAAAAAAAUCUAAUGCAACUUUGAAUGAGAACCUUUUUUCAAAACAACAACACAUCAUUUGUUGCCCUUGUAUAGCAGUGCCACUGCCUUCCAAAACCUAGUAAAAUGGUUUCACUGGUGUAACAUUUCAAACUGCUUCUCCAAUGCUUUCUGCUUUCCUAGUCCCUUGGACCCUGUGGCCGUUCAGAUUUGGAAAGCAAGAUGUCGAGCUGGCCGUGCUAAUAGCAACUCAAUUCAAAUGUUCAGUCCCAAAAAGACAUGAAUGCACAGGUGCUUGUAACUGCAAAUCACUUGAGGGGGGAAACUGUUCUUUAUUUAAUCCACCCAAAGUGUGUCGACAGUGGAUUCUGAAGGGGGGAAUUCAAUCUGCACCUCCUAAUCUGAUCAUGCAGAACUUUGGGCUAGCACUGCUGCUAUUAUUAUUAUUAUUAUUAUUAUUAUUAUUAUUAUUAUUGCCAGCCCUUUCACUCACCAAACGGCUCUGAUGUUCCAGCACCAAUUUAUGCAGCCUGUAGUUCUUUUGGCCAUUUGCCGUUUUCUGUGUUUGUUUGUGUUCUUUCACCAACCAGGAUAAUUAACCCUCGGGAGAUCAAAUAAUACUUGAGUGAGACUCCUGCUGCAGAAUGAAUCUGAGGGAGCUGGCCUGCUCUUACAAGAGGAUUCUUGGGGUGCUGUGAACCUCUUGGAUUUCCAUGUCUUCCUCCAUCCCACCCCCCACCUUCAGUGGGUCUCUAGCUUCUGUGCUGUGGGCCUGGAGAUCCGUUUCCUAAUGGAGGAAUCCUGUGAACACUCUUCAAAAGCCAGCAGGGUCCAACCCUUUGCAGAAUCUUUGGACUGGGCUUUUAGGGUCGUAUUCUGGAUACAGAAUGGAUUUUUCUGUUGCAGCUUGCAAGCAGCCACUUCCUUUUUUCUCUCUCCCUUGGCAUUUUGCAGGCAAGUCCUGGCAAGAUUUGAGUUGAGGGUGGAAUCUGGGCCAGGAACGGUAGAGUGCAAAGGCAUGCAAGUCAAGUAGGCCAGAAAGAAGAGAAGCAAUAGGAAGCAAGAGGCAAGUAAUAGCAAAGGUCCUAUGUAGACAUUGUCAGUUAAGCACACACAGAGAGAGGAUAAUCUCUGGCUUUUGCCCCUUCUGCUGUAGGAUGUAACUUCCCAGGCCAUUGCUGCAGACCAUACAUGAUUAUUUGGACCUAUGUGCUGUGUACAGAUCCCAAAGGCACAAAUGUUUUGCCGUAAGGGAGGAAUGACUUGCAUGUUGAAAUUAGCAGUUGGUCGCCAAACAUGGAGACAUCUGGUCUUCCAGAUGUUGAACUACAGGUCACAUCAUUCAUGACUGCUUUCCAUGCUUGCUGGGGCUGAGAGAGGCUAGAGAGACCCCAGACAUCUAGAAUACCACAAGUUCCCUACCCUGGGUACAAUGACGUGCUCUUCAAAGAUGCUGCCUCCUCAGUGGUUUACUUGGGAUCUAUCAAGGAGUGGUAGUUGGAGAAGGAUCUUCUCCUAGAUCCACUCCUUCUGGAAGAUGGCCUUAAUAGAAUGCGGGUGACCAUAUUAAUCCCUGGUGUGCAUCGUUUUUUAGCUGAGCCAGGGAGAGGUUGAUGGGGUGGCAGGUCAGUUGGCAAAAGAGCACAUUACUUCAGUGUCACGUAUAAGAAGAGGGCGCUUCAGAUAAGUGUAAAGUCCUGCACUAGAGUAGUGGUGGUGUGGUGUAAAGCAGGGUCUCCAGCUAUUUUUGGACUACAGCUCCCAUCAUGCCUAGCUAGCAGGACCAGUGGUCAGGGAUGAUGGAAAUUGUAGUCCCAAAACAGCUGGGGACCCAAGUUUGGGAAGGUAGCUGUACCAUCUUAAGUGCCUCUGACUCAGCCCCCUUGUCCUGUUUGGGGAUCUGGCAGAGUUGGAGAAGGUUUGGAAAAGGGCAGACAAAGUGAUCCAGAGGAUGGAGAGAGGACCCCCCCCCCCAUGAAGGAAGGUUGCAGUGUUUGGGACGUCAUGGUUUAUAGAAAAUGUGAGUAAAAGGUGACAUGAUAGAAGUUCCUAAGAUGAUACAUAGCAUGGAGAAAGUGAAUAGAGAAAGGUUUUUCUCCCUCAAAACGCCAGAUCAGGGGACAUCCCGUGAAGCUGAAUGUUGGAAGAUUCGGGGCAGAUAAAUUCCUUCAUGCAGUACAUAUUUAAAGCUAUGAAACUUGCUAUCAAAGGAGACAGUCAUGGCCACCAACCUAGAUGCUUAUAAAAGAGGAUUGGAUGACUUCAUGGAGGAGGGGGACUACAUUUCAACAUUUUCUUUAAAAGAAAUUUUCCAAAAAAAAAUAAAUCAGCAUUUU